GGCUGCAGAAUUUUUAACUGUACAAAGGUAGCAUAAUAAUUUGUUUUUUAAUUAAAAACUAGUAUGAAUGAUUAAAUGAAAUAUAAACUGUUUCAAUUAAAUAAAAAUUUAAAUUUUUAUUUAAGUAAAAAAACUUAAAUAAAUUUAAAAGACGACAAGACCCUAUAGAAUUUUAUUUAUUUUUUAAUAAUAAUACUUAAUUAAUUUAUUUAAAUUAAAAAAAUAAAUUUAAUUGGGGUAAUUUAAAAAUAAAAAAAAUUUUUUUUAUACAUAACAUUAAUUAAUGAAUAUAAUAUCUUAAAAUUUAAAUUAUUAAAAUUAAUUACCUUAGGGAUAACAGCAUAAUUUUUUUUAAAAGAUCUUAUU
Molecule: ribosomal RNA, 366 nt
Filed under: Chorebus flavipes
Lineage: Eukaryota; Metazoa; Arthropoda; Insecta; Hymenoptera; Braconidae
Description: partial large subunit ribosomal RNA
Source: RNAcentral